This 893-nucleotide small RNA is filed under the name Didymella heteroderae. Its description in RNAcentral is "eukaryotic LSU rRNA". It matches the Rfam family "Eukaryotic large subunit ribosomal RNA", at positions 50 to 961 of the family's 3401-position model. Lineage: Eukaryota; Fungi; Ascomycota; Dothideomycetes; Pleosporales; Didymellaceae. The record is from RNAcentral.
GCGGAGGAAAAGAAACCAACAGGGAUUGCCCUAGUAACGGCGAGUGAAGCGGCAACAGCUCAAAUUUGAAAUCUGGCGUCUUCGGCGUCCGAGUUGUAAUUUGCAGAGGGCGCUUUGGCAUUGGCAGCGGUCCAAGUUCCUUGGAACAGGACGUCACAGAGGGUGAGAAUCCCGUACGUGGUCGCUAGCCUUUACCGUGUAAAGCCCCUUCGACGAGUCGAGUUGUUUGGGAAUGCAGCUCUAAAUGGGAGGUAAAUUUCUUCUAAAGCUAAAUACUGGCCAGAGACCGAUAGCGCACAAGUAGAGUGAUCGAAAGAUGAAAAGCACUUUGGAAAGAGAGUUAAAAAGCACGUGAAAUUGUUGAAAGGGAAGCGCUUGCAGCCAGACUUGCCUGUAGUUGCUCAUCCGGGUUUCUACCCGGUGCACUCUUCUACGGGCAGGCCAGCAUCAGUUUGGGCGGUUGGAUAAAGGUCUCUGUCAUGUACCUCUCUUCGGGGAGAACUUAUAGGGGAGACGACAUGCAACCAGCCUGGACUGAGGUCCGCGCAUCUGCUAGGAUGCUGGCGUAAUGGCUGUAAGCGGCCCGUCUUGAAACACGGACCAAGGAGUCUAACAUCUAUGCGAGUGUUUGGGUGUCAAGCCCGAGCGCGUAAUGAAAGUGAACGGAGGUGGGAACCCUUCGGGGUGCACCAUCGACCGAUCCUGAUGUCUUCGGAUGGAUUUGAGUAAGAGCAUAGCUGUUGGGACCCGAAAGAUGGUGAACUAUGCUUGAAUAGGGUGAAGCCAGAGGAAACUCUGGUGGAGGCUCGCAGCGGUUCUGACGUGCAAAUCGAUCGUCAAAUUUGGGCAUAGGGGCGAAAGACUAAUCGAACUAUCUAGUAGCUGGUUCUGCG